GUAGUCCACGCCCUAAACGAUGUCUACUAGUUGUUGGGGGAAAUUAGUCCCUUAGUAACGAAGCUAACGCGUGAAGUAGACCGCCUGGGGAGUACGGUCGCAAGAUUAAAACUCAAAGGAAUUGACGGGGACCCGCACAAGCGGUGGAUUAUGUGGAUUAAUUCGAUGCAACGCGAAAAACCUUACCUACCCUUGACAUGUCUGGAAUCCCGUAGAGAUAUGGGAGUGCCCGAAAGGGAAUCAGAACACAGGUGCUGCAUGGCUGUCGUCAGCUCGUGUCGUGAGAUGUUGGGUUAAGUCCCGCAACGAGCGCAACCCUUGUCAUUAGUUGCUACGCAAGAGCACUCUAAUGAGACUGCCGGUGACAAACCGGA
Molecule: ribosomal RNA, 374 nt
Filed under: uncultured bacterium
Lineage: Bacteria
Description: bacterial SSU rRNA
Rfam family: Bacterial small subunit ribosomal RNA
Source: RNAcentral